AGUGGGGUAAGCUAAGCUUAAGCUGUUGGGCUCAUAACCCAAAAAUAGAAUUCACUCUCCCCCCUA
RNAcentral lists this transfer RNA (66 nucleotides) under Pilsbryoconcha exilis. Its description in RNAcentral is "tRNA-Met". It matches the Rfam family "tRNA". From Rfam's summary of the family: Transfer RNA (tRNA) molecules are approximately 80 nucleotides in length. Lineage: Eukaryota; Metazoa; Mollusca; Bivalvia; Unionida; Unionidae. The record is from RNAcentral.